GGAUGUGAGGGCGAUCUGGCUGUGACAUGUCACCCCAUUGAUCGCCAGGCUUAUUCGGCUGAUCUGGCUGGCUAGAUGGGUGUCCCCUUCCUCCCUCACCUCCAUGUGCGUCCCUCCCGAAGCUGCACGCUCGGUCGAAGAGGUUGACCUUCCCCUAAUAGAGGAGGACCUGUCUUCAGUCAAGGGUAUACGAGUAGCUGCGCUCCCCUGCUAGAACCUCCAAACAAGCUCUCAAGGUCCUUAGUGUUGGAAAGGCAGGAACACUGGGCGGACUUCCCAGUUACUUACGAGUCAUAUCUC
Molecule: unclassified non-coding RNA, 300 nt
Organism: Mesocricetus auratus (golden hamster)
Lineage: Eukaryota; Metazoa; Chordata; Mammalia; Rodentia; Cricetidae
Gene: 7SK
Rfam family: 7SK RNA
About the family: 7SK was discovered as an abundant small nuclear RNA in the mid-70s but a possible function has only recently been suggested. Two independent studies have found that 7SK RNA binds the CDK9/cyclin T complex (known as elongation factor P-TEFb). P-TEFb activates transcription by phosphorylating the C-terminal domain of RNA polymerase II.
Source: Ensembl